Long non-coding RNA from Papaver somniferum (opium poppy), 303 nucleotides. RefSeq lists it as uncharacterized. NCBI's taxonomy places the organism in Eukaryota, Viridiplantae, Streptophyta, Magnoliopsida, Ranunculales, Papaveraceae. The transcript is spliced from 3 exons. The record is from RefSeq and is a predicted model, not a curated record.
GUUCAGGCCAAAUUCUCCAGGUUAACAAGAAAGUUGUGUAAUCUUUAGACGAUCCUGAGGAGUACCCUACCUUGUUCGAGGAUUGCCAGGUUGCUAUGUGGAAUCUCAAAUUUAGACAAGGAGGAAGAAGAAAACGAAGAAGAACAUGAAAGCCAGGAAUAAGAGGUUUCUGAGUUCGUAGCUGAUUGCACAGAGAUAAACAAUAAGUGCCACUACUUACAAGGCUAGAUAUGAAGCAACAAAAAGCUAUACUUAUUUGAGCAUGUAGGUAAUGAAUGAUGUUGAGAUUGUCCCUUGGUCUUG